AGGACGAACGCUGGCGGCGUGCUUAACACAUGCAAGUCGAACGGAACUUCAAGGAGCUUGCUCCUGAAGGUUCAGUGGCGAACGGGUGCGUAACACGUGAGAAACCUGUCCCGAACUUGGGAAUAACAGCCGGAAACGGCUGCUAAUACCGAAUAUCUUCGUAACGUCGCAUGGCGAUUCGAAGAAAGCUUUAUGCGGUUUGGGAGGGUCUCGCGGCCUAUCAGCUAGUUGGUGAGGUAAUGGCUCACCAAGGCAUCGACGGGUAGCUGGUCUGAGAGGAUGAUCAGCCACACUGGGACUGAGACACGGCCCAGACUCCUACGGGAGGCAGCAGUGGGGAAUAUUGCACAAUGGGCGAAAGCCUGAUGCAGCAACGCCGCGUGCGGAAGAAGGCCUUAGGUGUAAACCGCUUUCAGUAGGAAGAAAGUGAACGGUACCUACGAGAAGAAGGUGCGGCAACUACGUGCCAGCAGCCGAC
RNAcentral lists this ribosomal RNA (478 nucleotides) under uncultured soil bacterium. Its description in RNAcentral is "bacterial SSU rRNA". It matches the Rfam family "Bacterial small subunit ribosomal RNA", at positions 26 to 518 of the family's 1533-position model. The record is from RNAcentral.